Molecule: ribosomal RNA, 492 nt
Filed under: uncultured bacterium
Lineage: Bacteria
Description: partial 16S ribosomal RNA
Rfam family: Bacterial small subunit ribosomal RNA
Source: RNAcentral
AGUGAACGCUGGCGGUAGGCCUAACACAUGCAAGUCGAACGGCAGCACAGUAAGAGCUUGCUCUUACGGGUGGCGAGUGGCGGACGGGUGAGGAAUACAUCGGAAUCUACUUUUUCGUGGGGGAUAACGUAGGGAAACUUACGCUAAUACCGCAUACGACCUACGGGUGAAAGCAGGGGAUCUUCGGACCUUGCGCGAUUGAAUGAGCCGAUGUCGGAUUAGCUAGUUGGCGGGGUAAGGGCCCACCAAGGCGACGAUCCGUAGCUGGUCUGAGAGGAUGAUCAGCCACACUGGAACUGAGACACGGUCCAGACUCCUACGGGAGGCAGCAGUGGGGAAUAUUGGACAAUGGGCGCAAGCCUGAUCCAGCCAUACCGCGUGGGUGAAGAAGGCCUUCGGGUUGUAAAGCCCUUUUGUUGGGAAAGAAAAGCAGCAGGUUAAUACCCCGCUGUUCUGACGGUACCCAAGGAAUAAGCACCGGCUAACUUCGUG